Molecule: ribosomal RNA, 495 nt
Filed under: uncultured bacterium
Lineage: Bacteria
Description: partial 16S ribosomal RNA
Rfam family: Bacterial small subunit ribosomal RNA
Source: RNAcentral
UGAACGCUGGCGGCGUGCCUACUACAUGCAAGUCGAGCGAACGGACGAGAAGCUUGCUUCUCUGAUGUUAGCGGCGGACGGGUGAGUAACACGUGGAUAACCUACCUAUAAGACUGGGAUAACUUCGGGAAACCGUAGCUAAUAACGGAUAAUAUUUUGAACCGCAUGGUUCAAAAGUGAAAGACGGGCUUGCUGUCACUUAUAGAUGGAUCCGCGCUGCAUUAGCUAGUUGGUAAGGUAACGGCUUACCAAGGCAACGAUGCAUAGCCGACCUGAGAGGGUGAUCGGCCACACUGGAACUGAGACACGGUCCAGACUCCUACGGGAGGCAGCAGUAGGGAAUCUUCCGCAAUGGGCGAAAGCCUGACGGAGCAACGCCGCGUGAGUGAUGAAGGUCUUCGGAUCGUAAAACUCUGUUAUUAGGGAAGAACAUAUGUGUAAGUAACUGUGCACAUCUUGACGGUACCUAAUCAGAAAGCCACGGCUAACUACGUG